RNAcentral lists this long non-coding RNA (662 nucleotides) under Cavia porcellus (domestic guinea pig). RNAcentral describes it as "lncRNA (ENSCPOG00000036061.1)". The record is from RNAcentral. Lineage: Eukaryota; Metazoa; Chordata; Mammalia; Rodentia; Caviidae.
CAGGGUCUCCUGAGCCAGGACUCGUGAGGACUCAGUGUCAGCGAAGUGGGAAGCCUGGGUUUGGCUCUGAGCCAUCUUAUCAGUCACGAGACUCCUGAAGUCGUGUCGGUGAAGGGACGGGCGAGUCAGACCCCCGGGUGCUCUCCUGGGUUGGUUUUGCCCAGUUAAGUGGUCGAAUUUUCCUUUUAACUCGCUUCCUUCUUGCUUUUGACGAAUGGGAAUAUUUGUACCAUUUUCCCGGAUGACCUCUUCUCCUUGGGGUAAUGAGAAAAUGAAAGUCUUUGCUAAGUGCUUUGAGAUAUUCAGAUAUAAAAAUGGAGAGCAGAGUGUUGGCGUGGGCCUUCGGCUGCCAGGGCACUGUAGAAGGAGGAAGCCAGGCACACAGACCUCACUGACGGAAGGCAAAGACCACCACCUCCAUCCCACCUGCCUUUCCAGCUGCCCCAGCCACCGAUCCCUCCUUCCUAAGGGGGUCCUGCAACUCCCCAGUGCUACACAUUGGAAUGGACUUCGGACCCUGGCUUCUUGGGGUGCAAAGGAUGAAGUGACCUCCCCGCUACGUUUGAGGCACCUGUAGGACCUGCCACAAGGUAAGGCUUAAAUCUCUUCUCUGACUGCUGUCUUGUCUGGUAUUGGUGACCCCUCACCUGACACACUGUCAC